RNAcentral lists this ribosomal RNA (998 nucleotides) under Trapezionida spilota. RNAcentral's name for it is "SSU rRNA". It matches the Rfam family "Eukaryotic small subunit ribosomal RNA", at positions 39 to 979 of the family's 1831-position model. Lineage: Eukaryota; Metazoa; Arthropoda; Malacostraca; Decapoda; Munididae. The record is from RNAcentral.
AAAGAUUAAGCCAUGCAUGUGUCAGUACAAACUAAGCCAAAAGUGAAACCGCAAAUGGCUCAUUAAAUCAGCUAUGAUUCCUUGGAUCUGUACACCCAGUUUUCCUUGGAUAACUGUGGUAAUUCUAGAGCUAAUACAUGCACAUAUAGUCCCUAACCUCACGGGAAGGGCGCUUUUAUUAGUAUCAAAACCGGUCUGGCUUCGGUCUGUAAAACCAGUUGUGAUGACUCUGGAUAAUGUAAGCUGAGCGCACGGUCUUUGCACUGGCGCCGCUUCUUUCAAGUGUCUGCCUUAUCAGCUGUCGAUUGUAGGUUAUGUGCCUACAAUGGCUAUAACGGGUAACGGGGAAUCAGGGUUCGAUUCCGGAGAGGGAGCCUGAGAAACGGCUACCACAUCCAAGGAAGGCAGCAGGCACGCAAAUUACCCACUCCCAGCUUGGGGAGGUAGUGACGAAAAAUAACGAUGCGAGACUCAUCCGAGGCCUCGCAAUCGGAAUGAGUACACUUUAAAUCCUUUAACGAGGAUCAAUUGGAGGGCAAGUCUGGUGCCAGCAGCCGCGGUAAUUCCAGCUCCAAUAGCGUAUAUUAAAGUUGUUGCGGUUAAAAAGCUCGUAGUUGGAUUUCAGGAUUGGACUGAAAGGUUCACCGUGAGGUGUCUAAAAACCUAACAGUAUCCGAAACCAGCUAUCACAACAACUUUGUGUAUGCCCACACUAGCUCACACGGGGUGUUCUUAAUUGAGUGCCCCGCGUGGCUGGUAUGUUUACUUUGAAAAAAUUAGAGUGCUCAAAGCAGGCCAACUGAAUGGCCUGAAUGUCUAUGCAUGGAAUAAUAUAAAAGGACCUCGGUUCUAUUUUAGCCGGGCUUUUUGUGGAACCCGAGGUAAUGAUUAAUGGAGAUGAAUGGGGGCAUUAGUACUGCGACGCUAGAGGUGAAAUUCUUGGACCGUCGCAAGACUAACAACAGCGAAAGCAUUGUCAAGAUUGUUUUCUUUAAUCA